This 414-nucleotide ribosomal RNA is filed under the name bacterium enrichment culture DGGE gel band A26. RNAcentral describes it as "bacterial SSU rRNA". It matches the Rfam family "Bacterial small subunit ribosomal RNA", at positions 9 to 423 of the family's 1533-position model. The record is from RNAcentral.
GAGUUUGAUCAGGAUCCAGGAUGAAGGCUUGAGUAAUACCUAAUACUAGCUAGUCGUACGGGGUACAGGAGCACUUUGGUUAUUAAUGGCGAACGGGUCAGUAACGCGUUGGGAACCUGCCCCAAAGAGGGGGAUAACAACCCGAAAGGGUAUUUAAUACCGCAAUUAGUUGAAAAUUAUUAGUAAGUUUCAAAUAAAGGAGAUUUCCUCUCUGGGAGGGGCCUGUGUCCCAUCAGCUAGUUGGGAGGGUAACGGCUCCCCAAGGCGAUGAGGGGUAAGGGCCCUGAGAGGGUGACCCCCCGCCAUGGCUCUGAAACACGGUCCCUACACCUACGGGUGGCCACAGUAGGGAAUAUUGCACCAUGGGCGAAAGCCNAANCAGCAACCCCGCGGGAGUGAAAAAGGCCUUNGGGU